CGAGUUUGCGGACUUAAAGGAGAAAGACUUUAGAGGUUUGAAUGACUGGGAUUGCUUUGGAUCAUGUACCUAUCUAAGAGUUGAAGUACAUUACAACCUCUAAAACUUGAAGAGAAUAGGUAUGAUGGCCUGGCCUAGGGCACGAAGCUCAUCCAGAUCUUUUUCAGAGUUUUCAGCGAUGCGGGUCUAAUCUGGUCCUAAGGUUCAGAGUAGUCGGAGGCAUACAAGAUCGUUGAGGCUUUCGGGCAUAGUGACCCGGCUUAAGGUGUGAAGUUCAUUCAAAGCUUUCUAAUAAGCAUGGUGGCUUGAUCUGGGGCAUGUGUAGCUCACCCAAGAU
Molecule: long non-coding RNA, 337 nt
Filed under: Elaeis guineensis (African oil palm)
Lineage: Eukaryota; Viridiplantae; Streptophyta; Magnoliopsida; Arecales; Arecaceae
Description: long non-coding RNA (EGUI_LNC023078)
Source: RNAcentral